Molecule: ribosomal RNA, 261 nt
Filed under: uncultured prokaryote
Description: partial 16S ribosomal RNA
Rfam family: Bacterial small subunit ribosomal RNA
Source: RNAcentral
UACGGAGGAUCCGAGCGUUAUCCGGAUUUAUUGGGUUUAAAGGGUGCGCAGGCGGAAGAUUAAGUCGGUGGUGAAAUUUUGCAGCUCAACUGUAAAAGUGCCAUUGAUACUGGUUUUCUUGAGUGUAGCUGAAGUAGGCGGAAUUUGUGGUGUAGCGGUGAAAUGCAUAGAUAUCACGAGGAACUCCGAUUGCGCAGGCAGCUUACUAAACUACUACUGACGCUCAGGCACGAAGGCGUGGGGAUCAAACAGGAUUAGAUA